AAUGAACGCUGGCGGUAGGCCUAACACAUGCAAGUCGAACGGCCGGACAGUAAGAGCUUGCUCUUACUGGUGGCGAGUGGCGGACGGGUGAGGCAUACAUCGGCAUCUACUUUUUCGUGGGGGAUAACGUAGGGAAACUUCCGCUAAUACCUCAUACGACCUACGGGUGAGAGCAGGGGAUCUUCGGACCUUGCGCGAUUGAAUGAGCCGAUGUCGGAUUAGCUAGUUGGCAGGGUAAAGGCCCACCAAGGCAACGAUCCGUAGCCGGCCUGAGAGGGUGAUCAGCCACACUGGAACUGAGACACGGUCCAGACUCCUACGGGAGGCAGCAGUAGGGAAUCUUGCGCAAAGGGCGAAAGCCUGACGGAGCCACGCCGCGUGAGUGAUGAAGGUCUUCGGGUCGUAAAGCUCUGUUAUUAGGGAAGAACAGCUGUGUGAGUAACUGUGGAUAUCUUGACGGUACCUAAUGAGAAAGCACCGGCUAACUACGUG
RNAcentral lists this ribosomal RNA (492 nucleotides) under uncultured bacterium. RNAcentral describes it as "partial 16S ribosomal RNA". It matches the Rfam family "Bacterial small subunit ribosomal RNA", at positions 29 to 507 of the family's 1533-position model. The record is from RNAcentral.